AUGGCGGACUUCGCGCUUGGGUUGACCAAGACGGCGGUGGAGGGGACGCUGAGCAGAGUCCAAUUGGCGAUCGAUGAAGAGAACAAGCUGAGGGUGACGGCGAAGCAAGACCUGCGGUACAUCACAGGCGAGUUCCAGAUGAUGCAGUCCUUUCUCAAGGUUGCCAACAAGGAGCGCGCCAAUAAUGAAGUGGUGAAGACCUGGGUGAGGCAGCUCCGAGACCUUGCCUUCGAUGUCGAAGACUGUGUUGAGUUUGUUGUCCACCUGGACAACAACUCGGCCUUGAUCUGGUUGUGGCGCCUGGUACCAUCCUGCAUGGCACCACCUCGGACUCGGGAGCUGGACAGGGCAGUCGCUGAGUUAAAGCAGCUGAAGGCAAGGGUUGAGGAGGUAAGCCAGAGGAACACACGCUACAACCUCAUUAGUGACUCCGGCUCCCAUGCCAAGACCGCCACACCGACCGAGCAGCUGGCUGCCCUGGCCACCACCAACCCAUCAGCAUUCCACAUGCUAACUGAGGUCUGGGAGGCUGCUGGGAGGCGACGCGGCAUGAGCGACCUACAGAAGUUGAUCCUAGGUGAAGGCAGUGACCUUCAAAUGAUCUCCGUAUGGGGAAGUACGGCAGCUGAUCUUGGGACAACGUCCAUUUUCAGCAUGCUGUAUAGUGACCCAGAUAUUUGCCGAGCAUUCAGAAGACGUGCAUGGGUGAAGUUGAUGCAUCCUUUUAAACCUGACGAGUUCCUCAAGAGUUUGCUGACUCAGUUCUACGUGAGAUCUCACCAAGAAAACAUAGAUGUAGAUCAUCUCACGAAGGCUGAGCUCAUGCAACAAGUGAAGGUGCACAAGUAUCUCAUCAUUCUAGAAGAAGUAUCUGGUGUGGCGGACUGGGAUGCCAUCCGAGAGUACCUGCCGGACAAUGAGAAUGGCAGCCGAAUCAUCGUGUCCACAAAGCAAUUAAGGAAUGCACUCUUGUGCACAGGGGGUGGGGAGUACCAAGUUUCAGAGCUCAGGAGAUUCUCUGACGAUCGAUCUCUUUGUGCCUUCUCCAAGAAGGCAGGGCGUCACAGUGGUAUGCACGAUCUUAUUUGGCAAAUAAGGUGUCGUGGUGUGAUUUCACUAUGGGGGAUUAGCGAUGCCAAAUCAUCACUCAUCAAUAAAGUGUACACCAGCAUAGUGUAUAAGAGUAAACAAUUCGAUGGAGUUGAAUUUCAACGACACAGCUGGGUCGACGUGCCCGCUCCUUUCAAUUUGGAGGUCUUCUCUCGGCGCUUACUUGUAAGUUUCCGCUCAGAAGAUCUUCAAACCGAAGAAAUUGCAAUGGUUGGUAUGAUGGAAGAGCCAGGCCUAACUCAAGAGUGUUGCAAGUUUCUGCAUGAAGACGAUUGCCUCGUUGUUAUUAAUGAUCUGCAGUCCACACAUGACUGGGACUUGAUAAAAACUGCUUUCUUGUCCGAGCCUAUUAAAGGAUGUAUUCUUAUCAUUACAAAUGAAUCAAGCGUUGCCAGACAUUGCGUAGAGGAGGAAGAUGGGGUUCUCAACAUCGAAGAUUUGAAAGCCCAUACUAUGCUUCGCCCCUUGAUAAAGGAUUGCCAAAACUAUGGAAUUAGAUGGAAGGAGGCUACUCACAGGGGUCGCCUUUUCUCCAUCAGAUUGGGGGAGACACGUGAAUGGUUCACAAAAUUUGGACACAUGUAUUGGGAAGAAGCGAGGGACCUUCGGUUUCUUUUACACAAUCCUGGUGUGAUCUCGUUGUGGGGACCUGCUGGUGCUGGGUUAUCAACUCUUGUUAGAAUCUUGUACUAUAAGGUAAUGCUUAGGUCUGAUGCUUCUUGGGAGUGGGAAUAUCAUCAAGAGAGGCCAGUUAGCUGGGAAGAGAAAAUUACAAUGUUUAGCUGGGUUGAUGUGCCCCAUCCUUUCAAUUUAAAAGACUUCUGUUGGCGCUUGUUACUGGAUUUUCGUUCAGAUGAUCUUCGAGCCAAGAAAAUUGCUGCAGUUGGUAUAAUGGAAGGCGAAGACCCAAUUCAACAGUGUUCUAAGAUUCUGCGUGAAGACGAAUGUGUCGUCGUUAUUGAUGGUCUACGGUCCACCGAUGAUUGGGAUUUGAUAAAAGCUGCCGUAUUACCUGACCCAAUUACCAGCCAUAUUAUUGUCAUUGCAAAUGCUGCAAGUGUUGCCACACAUUGCGUAGAUAAGGAAGAUCGAGUGAUCAAGAUAAAUUGUCUAGAAGCUGGUAUGGCCAUUGGUCCCCCGAUAAAGGGUUGUAUAUUCUCCAACAGGAGAGCAGAGGCACGUGCCUUGGUCAACACAUUUGCACUUCUUGGGCAUCAGAAUCUAUCAGCUGAUCUGCUUCGCAGCAGUUUAGAUUCCUCAGGUCCUAGUGUGUCCUCAUUGUGGGGAAUUUCUGGUGUGGGGAAAUCAGCCGUGGUCAGAAGUCUGUACUGCCACCUGUUGCUUGGACUGGAUCAAUAUUUCAAGUUUGGCAGCGGACACAACCUCACUAGUCCCCAAACGGAAUUUACCAUGUGCAGCUGGGUAGACGUGCGUCAUCCAUUUAAUUUGAUAGAUUUCUCUUGCCAUUUGCUCCUGGAUUUUCACUCAGAUAAUCUUCAAGCUAAGGAAAAGGCAGCAAUUGGUAUCAUGGAAGGGCAAGAUCCAGUUCAAGAGUGUUGUAGAAUUCUGUGUGAGUACAGAAGUCUCAUUGUUAUCGAUGGAUUACGGUCCACGGAGGAUUGGGACUUGAUAAAAGCCUCCUUCUUACCCAAUCCUACGAAUGCAUGUAUCAUUGUAAUUACAAAUGAAGCAAGCGUCGCUACACAUUGUGUAGAUAAGGAAGAUCGUCGAGUGGUCAAUGUAAGUCUUGAAGCUGACAUGGCGCUCAUUCUCUUCAAAAAGAUCACAAAGGAUGGGAUAGAAUUGACUCCUGACGAGAUGGAGCUCUCCAAAGUUACCGUAGGCAGAUGUGGUGGGAUUCCUAAAGUUAUUGCUACUAUAGGCCACCUCUUCACCAAAGAGAAUGCCGCUGGAAGGCGCUGGUCUGUAUCGGCCACAGAUUUGUUGAAGGAGAUAAAUGAUGACUUUAUGCACAAGUUGGAGACCGAUCAAGAAUUUCACAGUUUAAGGGAUCUAUUCUCUUGGAUGCAGUCCUACUUUGAUGGUUGCUCAGAUUCCCUCAAGCCAUGUAUUUUCUAUCUCUCAAUCUUCCCUCCAGAGCAGAAGCUAAGGCAGAGGCAUUUGUUGAGGCGGUGGAUUGCUGAGGGUUAUUGCAGGGACACGUAUAAUGCUACUGCAGAGGAGAAUGGGGAGAGAUUGUUCAUGGAACUCGUUAGUUUGAGCAUAAUCCAACGAUGUCAGAAGACAAUGAAGUGCCUAUACCAAGUCAAUGGUUUCUUUCAUGAAUACAUCAUUUCACGGCGAAUGGAAGACAACCUCGUCUUUGCACUAGAGGGGAAUUGCAGCCCGAACUCGCAACAUGCAGGUCAACACCUCACCAUAAGGGAGGACUGGGACAGGGACAUCACAGUGUUUAAGACCAUGGACUUCUCACGUCUACGGUCCUUGACUGUGUUUGGAAAGUGGAUGUCAUUCUUCCUCUCCUCUGACAUGAGUCUACUUCGGGUGUUAGAUAUGGCGGAUACAUCAGGUAUACUAGAUGCCGACCUUGAGCAGAUCGUGAAGGUGCUACCUCGUCUUAAGUUUCUCUCUCUGCGAGGAUGCAAAGGGAUAAGCCAUCUACCAGAAUCAUUCGGUGGCCUGAGGCAGCUGCAAACGUUGGAUGUCAGAGACACCUCAAUUGCCAUGCUACCGUUGUGUGUCAUCAAGCUACAGAAGUUGCAAUACAUUCGUGCUGGCACCAUCAUAUCAUCUGAUGAAGGCGAUGACGCUCUUGCAAGUAUACCAACAACAACAGUAGACCAGACAUCAAGACCAUUGGAGAGCAGUGAUGACAUGGUCACAACACUACCGGAAACAACAGAGGAGGUUCAGACAUCAACACCACCAGAGGCCAGUGAUGACGUGGUCACAACUCUACCGAAAACUACGGAGGAGAUUCAGACAUCAACACUACCAGAAACGAGAACAGAGGUUCAGACAUCAAUAUCACCUGAGGGCAGUGAUGACAUGGUCACAGCACUACCGGAAACAACAGAUGUUCAGACAUCAACACGGUUGUCAUGGAGCUGCCGGCCAUGUAGUUUGGUGUCUAGCUGGUUAUCCAAGUUGCGCAGACGCCGACUUGAUAAUGAUGGUGUUGAGUUUCCUGUAGGGAUUGGGAGCAUGACGGCCUUGCAUACUAUUGGUGUUGUCAAUGUCAAUAUUCCAAAUGGAAAGGCAAUCCUAAAGGAGCUUAAGAACCUUACACAACUACGCAAGCUCAGCGUGUCUGGCAUAAACAGGCAAAACAUACAAGAAUUGUGUAAUUUCAUCUCCGGCCACAAGCAUCUGGAGUCCUUGUCAUUGCGACUCGAUAAGGAUAAGGAUAAGGAUGAGGGGUUACUUGCUUGUUUCGGUGACAUGAUUUCCCAGCCACCCAAGACCCUAAAGAGCCUCAAGCUGUACGGGCAUGUAAACAAACUGCCAAUUUGGAUCAAACAGCUUAAUAAUCUCGAGAAGUUACAUCUUGAGUUGACCAUACUAGUGCCAGAGGACAUGCACUUCCUUGGUGGAUUACCAGAUAGAUAUUGCUUACGUGGCCUUUGUGUCAAGCCAAUUCAAGAUGGCGAACUCAAUUUUGGCACCCUGGGUAAUGUUAUCUUUUCGAGAUUACGGGUCCUAGAGAUCGAUUGCACCUCCAAGUUACACGUAACUUUUGUAGAGAGGGUGUUUCGGGAAGCUGAGGUGCUAAAGAUUCACUGCUCUGAUGGGGCGUCUUUGCGGAUUUCUGGGCUAGAGCAUAUGAGUGAUCUCAAAGAAGUGUGGCUGAAGGGUUCGUAUGGUGACGAACUCAAGCAAGAGUUGCAACAGCAACUUUCCGUGCAUAAAAGAAAACCCGUCCUGAAGCUAGUGCAGCGACGCUCGUCCUGA
RNAcentral lists this ribosomal RNA (5022 nucleotides) under Triticum aestivum (bread wheat). Its description in RNAcentral is "partial small subunit ribosomal RNA". The record is from RNAcentral. Lineage: Eukaryota; Viridiplantae; Streptophyta; Magnoliopsida; Poales; Poaceae.